AGGGCGGUUACUCUGUUCUGCUUGUUUGAACUUUACCCUCAUGAGACAGUGUGUCCUCCCUUG
This 63-nucleotide microRNA precursor is filed under the name Euprymna scolopes. RNAcentral describes it as "Esc-Mir-1994-P1_pre stem-loop". Lineage: Eukaryota; Metazoa; Mollusca; Cephalopoda; Sepiida; Sepiolidae. The record is from RNAcentral.